Molecule: long non-coding RNA, 1564 nt
Filed under: Struthio camelus australis
Lineage: Eukaryota; Metazoa; Chordata; Aves; Struthioniformes; Struthionidae
Description: lncRNA (ENSSCUG00000004451.1)
Source: RNAcentral
GCCACCUCCAUGGCAACAGAUGCUGUCAAAAGCCUCAGGUUCGCUUGGAGGAUGAGGAGUGAAUUGCCAGGAACCAGCAAGCGAGGCUGAAGAACAGAAAUCUGAAGACGGCAGGCAGCUUCAAUACGUGGGAAAAACAGUGAAAAAGCCUAGCGCCACCAGGAUGGAGUAGGCCGUUAACGUAGAUUUGAAAGGGUAGUUCCCAGGUAAUGGAGAGAAGGGGCGAUGGAGAGAGAAGGCUCAUCUUACUCUGAGGCAUCGAGGGACCUGAACCACCUCUUGCGUGGACGAAUGCUCUCCCUGUAGGAGAAAAAGGCAAUUAACGUGUGUGGCGAAGAGCGAGAAGAAACAGCAACCGUGACAGGAAUCGUUAGCUCUGGCUUCUUUUGUGUGGGUACCGCAAGGUCAGAGCUUGAACAAGGGGAAAACCGGCAUAUGUCUUCGCUAACAAGCAUGACAACCAAGUAGCUGAGUCGAUUCAUGUUGCGAUCCAGAGAAACCCUAGUCUUUGACAGGAUCUGGGAAGUGAGGAUUCUGUUUUCCACGACUGCAAACUACCCUUCUUGUUCCCUACCUCUUCUCGAUGUGUGUGCUGCACUGACGUUGAUCUUGGACUGGCGUCCUCUUUGCAUACGUACGCGUUCUCUUCUGCGUCACAUCUCUCAAAAGGAGGCUCUGCACCAUCUCUGUUUCGAACGGAGGCUGUUAGGGAAAAGAGGAAGUCUUUUGGGUCAUCGAAACGAGAGUGGAGUGGGGAAAGCUGAUAUCCGUGUUCUGCUGAAAGACCCACCAACCCUGUCUUCCUCGUUAAAAAUCCAAAAGAGUAACGAGCUGAAGUGUCUUCAGCCCGUGUGCCUGCCUUCGUCCCCGGCACUGUGCCACCACCCUGGCUGAGGGAGGAUCAGCCCUCGCAUCCGGAGCCCUGGAGGAGAACCUGCCACAACACUGCUUCCUUUUCUGCCGUGCAGUGUGGAUCAAACACGACCAAACCGCGUUGGGUUACGGUCCAGAAGCGCUUCAGAGAAGAGCUAGAGAACAGGAAAAGAAGUGUAGGUGCCGUGCGGUGGCGUAGCCACAGCCCCGGGCGCCCGUCUCGGCGAGGAAGCGGCUGGAGAUGGCUUGGUCCGGUCAGGAGCUCCAGCUCAAAGGGACCGACUGGCCGAAGCGGGGCGGGCUGCGGAGGUGCCGUCUCUGCCAAGGUUUCCGAUGUUCCUGCUAUACUCCGAUGAAACAUUAUACAGAAAGAUAUAGGCAAAGCAUUAUGCUCACAGCCUUUGCCAACAAGUUAUGUUUUAAUGUAAUUUAACUGUAAUCUCAGAGUGUUUUUGUUAGCUAUAAUUAGUAAAAUAUGUCUGUUUUCUGUGUUCCUUGAAGACGUCUGAACUCCUGCCAGUUCCCUAUAGUUUUCCUGACAUGCAGCGUAACAAGCAGACCACCAAAAUGUAUUUACCAAUAACUGUUUAUUUACAUUCCGUGAAAUCUAAUAACAUUUGCUGCCUUCAUUCGGGAUAAAUGCUGGCCAAUGUGUAAAGCAUAAAAAAAAUAAACAUUGACUUAAUUUCUA